GACGAACGCUGGCGGCGUGCUUAACACAUGCAAGUCGAACGGUAAGGCCUCGCUAUUGUGGGGUGCUCGAGUGGCGAACGGGUGUGUCACCCGUGAGUAAAGUGCCCUUGACUUUGGGUUACUUUCACGUAACUGGGGCUACUACCGGAUAGGAGCAACUGCUGCUUGGAGUGGGUUGUCACGUUACGGCGGUUGGGGAUGGACUCGCGGCAUAGCAGCUUGUUGGUGGGGUAGUGUCUUACCAAGGCAUCGACAGGUAGCGGGCCUGAGAGGGGGACCGGCCACAUUGGGACUGAGAUGCGGCACAGACUCCUACGGGACGGAGCAGUGGGGAAUAGUGCACAGCGGGCUGAAGCCUAAUGCAACAACGCCGCGUGCGGUAUGACAGCCAGCCGGUUGUAUACCACAGCCGCCUGAUACGAAGAGUUAGUGACGGUAAUUGAUGAAGAAGCACCGGCUAACUACGUG
RNAcentral lists this ribosomal RNA (468 nucleotides) under uncultured bacterium. RNAcentral's name for it is "partial 16S ribosomal RNA". It matches the Rfam family "Bacterial small subunit ribosomal RNA", at positions 28 to 507 of the family's 1533-position model. The record is from RNAcentral.